RNAcentral lists this ribosomal RNA (1224 nucleotides) under marine metagenome. Its description in RNAcentral is "bacterial SSU rRNA". It matches the Rfam family "Bacterial small subunit ribosomal RNA", at positions 121 to 1378 of the family's 1533-position model. The record is from RNAcentral.
GGAACCUACCUUUAGGUAAAGAAUAACUAUAGGAAACUGUAGCUAAUACUUUAUACACCCUACGGGGGAAAGAUUUAUCGCCUUUAGAGGGGCCCGCGUCAGAUUAGCUUGUUGGUGAGGUAAUGGCUUACCAAGGCAAUGAUCUGUAGCUGGUUUGAGAGGACGACCAGCCACAUUGGGACUGAGACACGGCCCAGACUCCUACGGGAGGCAGCAGUGGGGAAUCUUGGACAAUGGGGGAAACCCUGAUCCAGCAAUUUCGCGUGAACGAAGAAGGCCUUAGGGUUGUAAAGUUCUUUUAGUAAGGAAGAUGAUGACGGUACUUACAGAAAAAGCUCCGGCUAACUCCGUGCCAGCAGCCGCGGUAAUACGGAGGGGGCAAGCGUUGUUCGGAAUUACUGGGCGUAAAGAGCGAGCAGGUGGUUCAUUAAGUCAAUUGUGAAAGCUCAAGGCUUAACCUUGAAAUUGCUUUUGAUACUGAUGAACUAGAGUUUGGGAGAGGAUAGUGGAAUUCUAAGUGUAGAAGUGAAAUUCGUAGAUAUUUAGAGGAACACCGAUAGCGAAGGCAACUAUCUGGCCCUUUACUGACACUCAGAAGCGAAAGCUUGGGUAGCAAACAGGAUUAGAUACCCUGGUAGUCCAUGCUGUAAACGAUGAGUGCUAGAUGUUAGAAGUUUACUUCUAGUAUCGAAGCUAACGCGUUAAGCACUCCGCCUGGGGAGUACGGCCGCAAGGCUAAAACUCAAAUGAAUUGACGGGGACCCGCACAAGCAGUGGAGCAUGUGGUUUAAUUCGACGCUACGCGAAGAACCUUACCAGCUCUUGACAUGCUAAGUUUUGGAUUUAAGAGAUUAAAUUCUUCAGUUCGGCUGGGCUUAGUACAGGUGCUGCAUGGCUGUCGUCAGCUCGUGUCGUGAGAUGUUCGGUUAAGUCCGGCAACGAGCGCAACCCUCAUCUUCAGUUACUAACAGGUUAAGCUGAGGACUCUGGAGAAACUGCCGUUGGAAAAGCGGAGGAAGGCGAGGAUGACGUCAAGUCCUCAUGGCCCUUAUGGGCUGGGCUACACACGUGCUACAAUGGUAAUUACAAUAAGUCGCGAAAUGGCAACAUUGAGCUAAUCUUUAAAAAUUAUCUUAGUUCAGAUUGUUCUCUGCAACUCGAGAGCAUGAAGUUGGAAUUGCUAGUAAUCGUGGAUCAGCAUGCCACGGUGAAUACGUUCCCGGG